Molecule: non-coding RNA, 28 nt
Filed under: Homo sapiens (human)
Lineage: Eukaryota; Metazoa; Chordata; Mammalia; Primates; Hominidae
Source: RNAcentral
UNGCCUAAGCACAGCUUCCUACCUAAAU